This 758-nucleotide long non-coding RNA is filed under the name Malus domestica (apple). RNAcentral describes it as "long non-coding RNA (MDOM_LNC014247)". The record is from RNAcentral. Lineage: Eukaryota; Viridiplantae; Streptophyta; Magnoliopsida; Rosales; Rosaceae.
ACUUACGGGCGACCCGUGAGAAAAUCCGGUCAAUCAACCCGAACCCAGAACAGGAUUUUCAUUGAAAACAUCUAUGAGAACAGCAGAAAGAGCACCUACGAAGUUUAUGAUCAGGAGGAGAGAAGAAGAAAGCGAGUUCAAAGAGCAAGUGAUGAUGAGGAGAACAGGUCAACUCGGAAGGAACUCGGAAGAAGGUCAGACUGGGGUUGGCGAGGGGUUGGCGCUGCCAAGCGUAGGAACGACGACAGGUUGGGAAACAUCAUCGAUUAUUGUGGACACCACUGUGUUUGCCCCGUUGUUGUUGUUCGGUUUCCAGAUGAUGAUAAUUGUGGCAUUGCUGAUGGCGGUUUUGGUGCUCCUCAUGUUGCUGCUGCAGUUGUUUUUGUUAAAGAGAAUGAGGAGGAAGAAGCCGUGAUCAAGCUGGUGCUAAAGGAGUAGCAACAGAAUAAUUAAAGUAGAAAGCAAAAGUAAAAGAGAAAGGUGCGGUGGAAAAGAGAACGACAAAAGCAAAAGAGGGUGGUGCAAGCUGUCACCAAUGAGUCCUAUUCGUCGGUACAAACGAGGCAAGCUUUAAAGUUGCAGAGAAAACACAAAAGCAAAAGAAAGGUGCGGUGGAAAAGAGAAAAGCAAAAGCAAGGAAUAAACACCCACACUGCAAAAGCAAGGAAUAAACACCCCACCAGAAUGAUGUGAUUUACUUUUCUUGUUUUUGAAUGAUGUGAUUUAUUUUUCGGAGACAAUCUGUAUAAACCCCAUCA